AUUGAACGCUGGCGGCAGGCCUAACACAUGCAAGUCGAGCGGUAGAGAGAAGCUUGCUUCUCUUGAGAGCGGCGGACGGGUGAGUAAUGCCUAGGAAUCUGCCCGGUAGUGGGGGAUAACGUUCGGAAACGGACGCUAAUACCGCAUACGUCCUACGGGAGAAAGCAGGGGACCUUCGGGCCUUGCGCUAUCAGAUGAGCCUAGGUCGGAUUAGCUAGUUGGUGGGGUAAUGGCUCACCAAGGCGACGAUCCGUAACUGGUCUGAGAGGAUGAUCAGUCACACUGGAACUGAGACACGGUCCAGACGCCUACGGGAGGAAGCAGUGGGGAAUAUUGGACAAUGGGCGAAAGCCUGAUCCAGCCAUGCCGCGUGUGUGAAGAAGGUCUUCGGAUUGUAAAGCACUUUAAGUUGGGAGGAAGGGCAGUAAAUUAAUACUUUGCUGUCUUGACGUUACCGACAGAAUAAGCACCGGCUAACUCUGUGCCAGCCGCCGCCGUAA
This 500-nucleotide ribosomal RNA is filed under the name uncultured bacterium. Its description in RNAcentral is "partial 16S ribosomal RNA". It matches the Rfam family "Bacterial small subunit ribosomal RNA", at positions 30 to 523 of the family's 1533-position model. The record is from RNAcentral.